CUGAAUGAGAGUUCAAGUUACCAGGUUGUUCCUUGCAAACUAACAGGAGACAUUGAGUGGGAAGUAUACAGUACACCUGCCAUGUUCAGAGUGUGAUGAACUGAGUUCAUCUCUUGAGUGUCACCAGAAGUGUCAUGUGUACAAAGCCAUAGUAUUGAUUGGGUUGAGGACUCGGUGGUGAAAUGGACAUCUAAGACAUACAAUCUCUGAACAUGGAUUGCUGGAAACACCCUCUGUACAUGUAAGGACCACCAAUUGUGAGUAAAGCACAGAGUAAAUUGUGUAGUGUAAACACAGUGUCAAGACAUUUGAAAAAGACAGUGAAUUCUUGUGAGUACAGAAAAUCCGCUUAGUGUUUAUCAUUCGUGAAAUCUACAGAGUUAUAUUUUCUUGAGACAUUCUCGUCAAGUACCAUCAAGUAUUUUAUUUUGAGCAUUGCUAUGAGUACUGUGUGAAUUGAAACCUUGUAGUGUUGUCUUUAGAGAUACUUAAUCUGCUGAGUGAGUCACCCAUACUAUUACUGGCUUUAAAUUUUUUUUGGGUGAGUAUCCAUUUAAAAGGUAUCCGAGGCAUUUAUGUGUUAACGUUUACCUCCUUUGCUCUGGAAGGGUGUUAAUUGAAUUUAUCUUUGGUGGGGUUGUUUUGUGGAAGAUUUGUUGUGACAUCAGCGCACGAUGAUCACAGUAGUUGUGAAUAAGUUACAACUUAUGUGUGAGUUCCGAGAACUUGCCAAAGCCAUGGAGGCCAGCAUUCAUCGGCGGGGAACGCCGAAGGCUCGGAGGGGUAGUGAGAAAAUCAAGUUUAGAGAUUUUCCAUCGGGAUCAGAACCUGAUGAAAGGAAAACUGCCGGUGAGGCUGAGGAAGCUAGUUGUUAUCAUCGGUACUAGACUUCGGGUGAGAAAGGAGGAAAUCAGUGAUUUGAAUAGAUCUUUUGUUAAGUAUGCUUAGACUUAUCCAACUUAGAUAAAUUAGUAGAGAGAGUGUCAAGCAAUGAAUAGUAUUCUACCUUAGACUUGAAAGACGCAUAUGAUUAAAGUAAUACUUAACGACAAAAGUCGAGACCUAACCACAUUUAGUGAUGGAAUAUAACUUAUGAAGGUUUACACGCUUAUCUUUUGGGUUUUUUCAACCAGUCCCGUUAUUCUUUUUAUUAUUUUUACCAGAGAAGUAAACCAAGUAGUAACCCCUUUUGCAGCGAAGAACCGAGUUGAAUGUAACUACCCCGAUAAUGUCAUAGUGUGGACUAAUGAUUUUUCAACCUUGUCAGACAGGUUAGCUAGAGUAUUGAGAAAGUCCUUCCAGUGUUUCCCCUUUCAUACAAUUGCCAGUGGGAAGGUGUAGUUGUGCAGUUUUGAUUGGUACAGGCGGUGCAGUGCAGUUGGUUUCUUUAAGUUUUGUUAGUACUUUAGGCGUAGGGCCCCUUAGGCCUUGUAAGUACCCAAUAUGAAGAUGUUACCGGAGAUGAGCUGAAUGUGAAAAGCACUGUAGUAGUAAAAGUAAAUGCUACCACCUGAUGAUUCUGCCGUCAAGGGCAUCUACAUCUUGUUGAGAUGUGUUAAUGAUGAACAUCAACUGUUGGCUUCGCCAGUCAAGUGGCCAGAGUGACCCUGUUGGGGGAGGGAUUGUCAGUAUGUACCAUGGACAAGAGGAAUGAGUAGAUGUGUCUUACUGCAGUGAGAACAUCGUUUGGUGUGAGUGAUCAAGUUGCUUGGAGGUCCUAUCUGCAGUAGGCCUGGGUUAAUGUAGGAGGUAGUUGGGCUGGACUUUAGUCACGGCUAGGCGUGUACAAGAGUACAUGGGCCUAGUGCAGUUUAAGAAGCUUGCAUUGCAAAGUAACAGAAGGGCACUGAGGUUUUGGGGGUUUCAUGGGGACCGGGUCGCUGGCAUUAAAGUCUAUUUGAGUCCAUACUCUGGCCAUUCCGAUCUUGCCUCAUCCCGCGAGUGGAGAAUGGUUCUUUUGUGAUAAGGUCAACCCAAAUACUUCAGUGGCUGGAUGGGGUCAGUCUAACUAUUCCUAGCUUGAGAUCUCAAUUGUUGAAUUUUGAAGCUUGGGUCCAGUGUCAUCCUAGUGGAUGUUGUAGUUGAAAGUGUCCUACAAAGCUACCUGUCAUCCUAGUGGAUGUUGUAGUUGAAAGUGUCCUACAAAGCUACCUGUCAUCCUAGUGGAUGUUGUAGUUGAAAGUGUCCUACAAAGCUACCUGUCAUCCUAGUGGAUGUUGUAGUUGAAAGUGUCCUACAAAGCUACCUGUCAUCCUAGUGGAUGUUGUAGUUAAAAGUGUUAUACAUGUCUGAUCAAUUGCCAAGAUGGAAACUACCUGCCGUCCUGGUGGAUGGUGCAGUUAAAAGUGUACAAAACUGUAAUUCAGGCCGGCCUGUUAUUUUUAUUAUUAUGUUCUGUAAUAUUGAUGUAUGAUUAUGUUCUUCUGUGUGCCAUAACAAGUGGUGCUGUGUUCAUUUUAUCUGCCCUGGCUGGGAGUUUGUGUGAUUAGUCAACUGAGUUGCAAAAUUUUAUGUAUGUGAAAAUUAUGUAACCAUGUGUGUUGCCUGUAUUGAUGACCAUUACCCCAGUAUUGCAAGAUAUUGUGUUUUGAAAAUUAUGUAUUUACUGUGAAUGUUUUGUCGACUAUACCGCAUAAUAUUGAAUCUUGGGGAGGGGAAAGCUUUGUAAAGACCACGGUCGUACACGUCAGUUAACGCCAAAAUCAAAUGAUUCAUAUUACGCUC
Molecule: long non-coding RNA, 2724 nt
Filed under: Homarus americanus (American lobster)
Lineage: Eukaryota; Metazoa; Arthropoda; Malacostraca; Decapoda; Nephropidae
Description: uncharacterized LOC121854083, transcript variant X1
Source: RNAcentral